UGGGGAAUAUUGGACAAUGGGCGCAAGCCUGAUCCAGCCAUGCCGCGUGAGUGAUGAAGGCCCUAGGGUUGUAAAGCUCUUUCACCGGUGAAGAUAAUGACGGUAACCGGAGAAGAAGCCCCGGCUAACUUCGUGCCAGCAGCCGCGGUAAUACGAAGGGGGCUAGCGUUGUUCGGAUUUACUGGGCGUAAAGCGCACGUAGGCGGACUUUUAAGUCAGGGGUGAAAUCCCGGGGCUCAACCCCGGAACUGCCUUUGAUACUGGAAGUCUUGAGUAUGGUAGAGGUGAGUGGAAUUCCGAGUGUAGAGGUGAAAAUCGUAGAUAUUCGGAGGAACACCAGUGGCGAAGGCGGCUCACUGGACCAUUACUGACGCUGAGGUGCGAAAGCGUGGGGAGCAAACAGG
RNAcentral lists this ribosomal RNA (404 nucleotides) under Actinomycetes bacterium. RNAcentral's name for it is "Actinobacteria bacterium partial 16S ribosomal RNA". It matches the Rfam family "Bacterial small subunit ribosomal RNA", at positions 355 to 776 of the family's 1533-position model. The record is from RNAcentral. RNAcentral also lists the same sequence under 2 other names. Lineage: Bacteria; Bacillati; Actinomycetota; Actinomycetes.